This 323-nucleotide ribosomal RNA is filed under the name uncultured Verrucomicrobiota bacterium. Its description in RNAcentral is "bacterial SSU rRNA". It matches the Rfam family "Bacterial small subunit ribosomal RNA", at positions 29 to 339 of the family's 1533-position model. Lineage: Bacteria; Pseudomonadati; Verrucomicrobiota. The record is from RNAcentral.
AACGAACGCUGGUAGCGUGGAUUAGGCAUGCAAGUCGAACGGGAUCCGGAAGGCAGCAAUGUCGGCCGGUGAGAGUGGCGGAAGGGCGAGGAACACGUGGGCAACCUGUCCAGGAGGCGGGGAAAACCUCGGGAAACUGAGGCUAAUACCGGAUGUGGCGCGGAAGGGCAUCCUUCCAGCGCCAAAGGGGGCGAAAGCUCCCCCUCCACGAGGGGCCCGCGCACCAUCGGCUAGUUGGCGGGGUAACGGCCCACCAAGGCUCACGGUUAGCUGGUCUGAGAGGAUGAACGGCCACAUUGGGACUGAGACACGGCCCAGACUCC